This 220-nucleotide long non-coding RNA is filed under the name Ricinus communis (castor bean). RNAcentral describes it as "long non-coding RNA (RCOM_LNC002182)". The record is from RNAcentral. Lineage: Eukaryota; Viridiplantae; Streptophyta; Magnoliopsida; Malpighiales; Euphorbiaceae.
AAAGUCAGGGGUGAUCAUGGACAUUUGGUUUGAUUGUGGCAUAUUGUUGUAGUUUAGCAAAGGAUUCCUCCUAGUACUGGGCUAGUCUAAGUCGGUCAUUUUUCCGGCAUCAAUGAGGUCUUGAAUUUCAUAUUUCAGUCGGAUGUAGUUCUCUGUGCAGUGCCCGGGUGCUUGGUGGAAUUUAUAGUAGGUGUUGGGUUUGUAGCCAAGUGCAUUCGGG